This 986-nucleotide ribosomal RNA is filed under the name Acinetobacter johnsonii. Its description in RNAcentral is "bacterial SSU rRNA". It matches the Rfam family "Bacterial small subunit ribosomal RNA", at positions 522 to 1504 of the family's 1533-position model. Lineage: Bacteria; Pseudomonadati; Pseudomonadota; Gammaproteobacteria; Moraxellales; Moraxellaceae. The record is from RNAcentral.
AACACCCGUAUUAGUGACGCGUAUCGGAUUACUGGGCGUAAAGCGUGCGUAGGCGGCUUUUUAAGUCGGAUGUGAAAUCCCUGAGCUUAACUUAGGAAUUGCAUUCGAUACUGGGAAGCUAGAGUAUGGGAGAGGAUGGUAGAAUUCCAGGUGUAGCGGUGAAAUGCGUAGAGAUCUGGAGGAAUACCGAUGGCGAAGGCAGCCAUCUGGCCUAAUACUGACGCUGAGGUACGAAAGCAUGGGGAGCAAACAGGAUUAGAUACCCUGGUAGUCCAUGCCGUAAACGAUGUCUACUAGCCGUUGGGGCCUUUGAGGCUUUAGUGGCGCAGCUAACGCGAUAAGUAGACCGCCUGGGGAGUACGGUCGCAAGACUAAAACUCAAAUGAAUUGACGGGGGCCCGCACAAGCGGUGGAGCAUGUGGUUUAAUUCGAUGCAACGCGAAGAACCUUACCUGGUCUUGACAUAGUAAGAACUUUCCAGAGAUGGAUUGGUGCCUUCGGGAACUUACAUACAGGUGCUGCAUGGCUGUCGUCAGCUCGUGUCGUGAGAUGUUGGGUUAAGUCCCGCAACGAGCGCAACCCUUUUCCUUAUUUGCCAGCGGGUUAAGCCGGGAACUUUAAGGAUACUGCCAGUGACAAACUGGAGGAAGGCGGGGACGACGUCAAGUCAUCAUGGCCCUUACGACCAGGGCUACACACGUGCUACAAUGGUCGGUACAAAGGGUUGCUACCUAGCGAUAGGAUGCUAAUCUCAAAAAGCCGAUCGUAGUCCGGAUUGGAGUCUGCAACUCGACUCCAUGAAGUCGGAAUCGCUAGUAAUCGCGGAUCACAAUGCCGCGGUGAAUACGUUCCCGGGGCCUUGUACACACCGCCCGUCACACCAUGGGAAAUUUGUUGCACCAGAAGUAGGUAGUCUAACCCGCAAGGAGGACGCUUACCACGGUGUGUCCGAUGACUGGGGUGAAGUCGUAACCAAGGUAACUCAC